Molecule: long non-coding RNA, 500 nt
Organism: Suricata suricatta (meerkat)
Lineage: Eukaryota; Metazoa; Chordata; Mammalia; Carnivora; Herpestidae
Exons: 4
Source: RefSeq, a predicted model, not a curated record
CGGGUCUCUCUUGAGUACAAGCAAAAGGAGAACCGGAGACAGGCCGGGACUGAGGCGGGAGGAGAAAGAGAGUAAACGUCUGUCAUUUCUAGAGGAGUCAUCUGUUUGGCAUGAAGCCUACUGUGAAAUGUGAUUCAGGACCAAGAAGAAGCCCAUUAUAGAUUGCCUGGAAUAUUGAGUUUACCUCAAGAGAACUUGGGAAGGCACAUCUGUGGAUUCCUCAGAGGUCCCUAAUGCAUCUCCUUCGCCUGACCCAUUGCUACCUCCCUCACAUCAGUUCCUGCCUCAGCAAUUCGCCUCACAGCCUCAUGCUUCCAGAACCUCUCUGCCGUUACAGAGUCUGUUCAAAAGGGACAAGCCUGAUUCCCUUUCAUGACCUCCAUUUGGCCCAAUGGAAGUUCAUCUAAUGUAGUCAAAUGAAAAAAAUGCACAAUGUCCAUUAGACAAUGAGCUACAUCACCAAUGAGUAACUCCAUAUGAAUAGAAGAGUCUAGAUCAAC